This 494-nucleotide ribosomal RNA is filed under the name uncultured bacterium. RNAcentral describes it as "partial 16S ribosomal RNA". It matches the Rfam family "Bacterial small subunit ribosomal RNA", at positions 28 to 507 of the family's 1533-position model. The record is from RNAcentral.
GACGAACGCUGGCGGCGUGCUUAACACAUGCAAGUCGAACGGUGAAGCGCCUUCCUUUUUGGUGGGUGUGGAUGAGUGGCGAACGGGUGAGUAACACGUGAGUAACCUGCCCCCUUCUUCUGGAUAACCGCAUGAAAGUGUGGCUAAUACGGGAUAUUCUGGGUCUGUCGCAUGAUGGGUCUGGGAAAGAUAUUGUUUCGGUGGGGGAUGGGCUCGCGGCCUAUCAGCUUGUUGGUGGGGUGAUGGCCUACCAAGGCGGUGACGGGUAGCCGGCCUGAGAGGGUGGACGGUCACACUGGGACUGAGACACGGCCCAGACUCCGACGGGAGGCAGCAGUGGGGAAUAUUGCACAAUGGGCGCAAGCCUGAUGCAGCGACGCCGCGGGAGGGAUGGAGGCCUGCGGGUUGUGAACCUCUUUCGCCAGUGAAGCAGGCCUGCCUCGUUUGUGGGUGGGUUGACGGUAGCUGGAUAAGAAGCGCCGGCUAACUACGUG